AGAAAGAGCUGAGCAUGUGUAGGCAGGAACCAGUAGAUGCAGAGCCUCGGAGAUAAACCUGUGAAGGCAGGUGGGGGCUGUUUGUGGAGGCUCUUGAAUGUCAAGUGGAGACUGAUCUGAAUCCACUUAAGCAAAGAAAGAAAUUCACAAGCAACAGCAGGAAACUCCGCCUUCCAUUCCCUCCUCAGGCCUGGCCUCCUGGUUCUCUGUCGGCCCAUGUACUCCUCUGCCAGGCAAAACCUGCCAGACCCUCCCAGGGGGAGAGGACCUCCGAGUACCAGGGCCGACUCCGCUCCUGAGGCCGCUGAGCCCUCCUGCACCUGUCGGGCCCGGGAAGUGCCAUGGGACAGCUGAUCCCCAAGUUAAUGAGCAUCUCUGGGAACCAGGAGCACAAGGUUAUCAUCGUGGGACUGGACAAUGAAGGAAAGACCACCAUUCUCUACGGGUUUGUGGUCUACAGACUAGUCACAUAGGCAUCACCUGAACGCUUAUUAGGAAUGCAAAACCAUGGCAGGGCGCAGUUGCUUACGCACGUAAUCGCAGCACUUUGGGAGGCCGAGGCGGGCGGAUCACCUGAGAUCAGGAGUUCAAGAGCAGCCUGGCCAACAUGGUGAAACCUCGUCUCUACUAAAAAUACAACAAC
RNAcentral lists this small RNA (643 nucleotides) under Pongo abelii (Sumatran orangutan). Its description in RNAcentral is "processed transcript". Lineage: Eukaryota; Metazoa; Chordata; Mammalia; Primates; Hominidae. The record is from RNAcentral.